This 76-nucleotide transfer RNA is filed under the name Verrucomicrobiota bacterium. RNAcentral's name for it is "tRNA-Arg". It matches the Rfam family "tRNA". From Rfam's summary of the family: Transfer RNA (tRNA) molecules are approximately 80 nucleotides in length. Their secondary structure includes four short double-helical elements and three loops (D, anti-codon, and T loops). Lineage: Bacteria; Pseudomonadati; Verrucomicrobiota. RNAcentral also lists the same sequence under 1 other name. The record is from RNAcentral.
GCGCCCGUAGCUCAUCGGAUAGAGCAGGGGUUUUCUAAACCCUUGGUAGCAGGUUCGAUUCCUGCCGGGCGCACCA